UUUAGGGAGACCUACACCCCUCAGAAAUCGAAAAACACACAGUUAUAUAGAUACUGAGUUGGUCACGCCCUAGGUCGUUCGAGUAUUGGUAUAAAGCUUUCAAAGUAUUAAUGGUUCAGAAUAUUAAACAAAAAACUUGAUAAAUCAGCACCAUGACAAAAUUUGUCAGACUGCUGAGUUUUAUCUCAGCCAGAACCUUGAAAACUGCAUAGUAACGCGAAAUUAGCAGGCAGACACAGACAUUCUGUAUUGAAUUGUAUUGUGAAUGCAAUCAUGUGAAACACCAAAAAUUUGAGU
RNAcentral lists this unclassified non-coding RNA (297 nucleotides) under Nostoc sp. ATA5.5-1-LB6. RNAcentral's name for it is "16S-23S ribosomal RNA intergenic spacer". Lineage: Bacteria; Bacillati; Cyanobacteriota; Cyanophyceae; Nostocales; Nostocaceae. The record is from RNAcentral.